Molecule: ribosomal RNA, 207 nt
Filed under: uncultured bacterium
Lineage: Bacteria
Description: partial 16S ribosomal RNA
Rfam family: Bacterial small subunit ribosomal RNA
Source: RNAcentral
CGCGUAGGCGGUUAAAUAAGUCAGAUGUGAAGGCCCCGGGCUCAACCUGGGAACUGCAUUUGAAACUGUUUAGCUAGAGUGUGGUAGAGGAGAGUGGAAUUUCAGGUGUAGCGGUGAAAUGCGUAGAUAUCUGAAGGAACAUCAGUGGCGAAGGCGGCUCUCUGGACCAACACUGACGCUGAGGUGCGAAAGCGUGGGUAGCAAACG